This 315-nucleotide ribosomal RNA is filed under the name uncultured Oscillospiraceae bacterium. Its description in RNAcentral is "bacterial SSU rRNA". It matches the Rfam family "Bacterial small subunit ribosomal RNA", at positions 355 to 684 of the family's 1533-position model. The record is from RNAcentral. Lineage: Bacteria; Bacillati; Bacillota; Clostridia; Eubacteriales; Oscillospiraceae.
UGGGGAAUAUUGGGCAAUGGGCGAAAGCCUGACCCAGCAACGCCGCGUGAAGGAAGAAGGUCUUCGGAUUGUAAACUUCUUUUAUCAGGGACGAAGGAAGUGACGGUACCUGAUGAAUAAGCCACGGCUAACUACGUGCCAGCAGCCGCGGUAAUACGUAGGUGGCAAGCGCUAUCCGGAUUUACUGGGUGUAAAGGGCGUGUAGCCGGGAGGGCAAGUCAGAUGUGAAAUCCACGGGCUUAACUCGUGAACUGCAUUUGAAACUGUUCUUCUUGAGUAUCGGAGAGGCAAUCGGAAUUCCUAGUGUAGCGGUGA